Molecule: ribosomal RNA, 495 nt
Filed under: uncultured bacterium
Lineage: Bacteria
Description: partial 16S ribosomal RNA
Rfam family: Bacterial small subunit ribosomal RNA
Source: RNAcentral
GAUGAACGCUGGCGGCGUGCCUAAUACAUGCAAGUCGAGCGAACAGACGAGGAGCUUGCUCCUCUGACGUUAGCGGCGGACGGGUGAGUAACACGUGGAUAACCUACCUAUAAGACUGGGAUAACUUCGGGAAACCGGAGCUAAUACCGGAUAACAUGUUGAACCGCAUGGUUCAACAGUGAAAGACGGUCUUGCUGUCACUUAUAGAUGGAUCCGCGCCGCAUUAGCUAGUUGGUAAGGUAACGGCUUACCAAGGCAACGAUGCGUAGCCGACCUGAGAGGGUGAUCGGCCACACUGGAACUGAGACACGGUCCAGACUCCUACGGGAGGCAGCAGUAGGGAAUCUUCCGCAAUGGGCGAAAGCCUGACGGAGCAACGCCGCGUGAGUGAAGAAGGUAUUCGGAUCGUAAAACUCUGUUAUUAGGGAAGAACAAAUGUGUAAGUAACUAUGCACGUCUUGACGGUACCUAAUCAGAAAGCCACGGCUAACUACG